UUAUUAUUAUUAUUAUUAUUCUUUCUUAUUAUUUUGUGUUAUAGGUAAUCAAUACAAUUGAUUUUCUUAAACAUAAAACAUCCGCCUGAUAUUUUAAUAGUAAUAUAUAUAUUUUUAAACCUUUAAUUGUACAUGAUGUGAAUUUUUAAAUUCAUGUAUUGCUGGAAGUCUCGUUUGUAAAUACUCACCUGAACAGUUUGAAACACCGACUUCCUGUAGAUCUGUAUUUUCAUUUUAAUUACCUUACCUUUUUUUUUGUUGUUGUAUAUAUAUAUAACACCUCCACACUCACACCCACUUCAAGCGCCUUAAAAAUACGAUAUUUAUUUUAAUGCCAAAUCGUCCCUUGAAUAAAAUGCUAACGUUACGUUUUCCAUUUUUACUUCUUACACAAAGACCAGAUAUUUAAUUAAGAGCUAUCAGCGUCCUAGAUUAUAGGAUUUCCAUUUCAGAGCAAAUCUUGCUCAGCCUUUUAUUGAUUGUCUUACCAUAUUUUCACUUAAAAAAAAAAAUGAACAAAUCUCCCAAGAUAGCUGUUUUUGUGUCUUCUAUCGAAUCCAUAUUUUCUACCGUCCCAAAUAAUACCCGGGUUUGAUGAUACACCUGUAUUAUGUGCUAAUGUGAUCUAAAAAUUCAGCGAGAUACCAAAAAAAACGAUGAUAUCGGAUUGUACGCUUAUCAUACCAUUCUAACUCUAAUUCUGAUGGGGAACGAACAUGUGCAGCUCUUUCUUAGCUCCUGAGCCAGUGAGGACUUGUCGAGUUGCUGCAGGAUCAGAAAGAUAAUAAAUGUUUACGAUAAUGACUUCUACAUUUGCACGAGUGCACUUUCACGAAGUAAAGCACACAAACGCACCAUGAAGCACUCGCUUUAGAUGUCACAGUACCUUUUUAUCCGACAUGAUCUCUUUUCAGUGUGCACUUCUCCUGACAAGGCAAAAGGUCGUGGAAAAAGCUGACGUUUCAACGUCUCCGUAUUGUUUGUAAUUGUGAGAGAUUAUUCAAUUUGUUUCUGUAAAGGACGUCCUUAUUUUAAGAGCUUAAACACAUUGAGUAAUAAUUCACGUCAGGCGCUCAGACAAUGUCGAGUUAGAACGCUAUAUAUCAACUUGCAUUAAUAUUCUCUACACAUUGCUGGACUUACUUACAGUGUACAUCUAACUGAAUCAGAGUUUAAUAAUGAACAUUCGCACAGCUGGUCUCUUCAGCUUUGUAUAAUCAUGUUGUCUAGUUAUUCCUGUUGCUAAUCCUGUUCUUUAGUAUUACACAUUGCGUAUGUAUUCCACGGUCCUGUUGACCAGAACUGCAGUUUCACACUCUGAUCUGAGGACACACUAUUUUGCUGUACUGUAUAGGAACGGCAUAGCGUUUGGCUUGAUGUGACUUGAAUUGAGUCGUAUCGUGGCCCCUGCCCUUUAAGGAAUCUUCUCUGGGUCACUAUGCGAUUCCGCUGCAUGCGAUGUGAGUGGCAUCUCGUCAGCCAUGUGUUUCUGGCUCUCAGUCAGCAGCUGGGUCUUAUUUCCUCUUUUUCUCCUCGUCGUUGAGCCGAGAGAAAGAAGAAAAAAAAAGCGUCAGGGAGGCUUGCAGCAUGAGUCAUCCAUCGCCUCGGGGCACAUUCGGCGACUCGGCCAACUGUAAGGGCGGCCAUUGUGUUGUAGGUCUUUCCUUACACAAGACGAAAGAGCUGGCUCUGAGAUUGAGCCUGUGUUGCUUUCCCACAGAAGAAAGAGCACUUCACUCUCUCUCUCUCUCUCUCUCGCUCUCUCUCUCUCUCUCUCUCUUCCUCCCUUUCGCUGUCUCUCGAUCUCUCUCUUCCUCCCUUUCGCUGUCUCUCUCUCUCUCUCUCUCCCUCUCUCUCUCUCUCUGGCCAGAUGGUAGGUGGUGAGCGUAACUCCUACUGUCAGUCUUCACCUCGGAUGGCCUCACAGACGCUGGCCUUAAUUGUAUACAGAGUACAGACACUGGCUUCAGCUGCCAGAAUGAGCACAGGGUGGAUAGCGUUCGUCUAGCUGUCUGUAUCAUUUAUUUGGCAUGUACUAUGGUAAGCCCUGCAGGGACUACAUUAAAAUAUAACAUCCAUUUUUGGAGAACAAUACGCGUGGUCCAAAAGUAGAGGAUAUUUAUAACGUUAAAUCAAAUUCACUGUACAGGCCGCGUCAUUGUUUUCGCAUCGUUUUUUUACAAGGGAGUCCGUAGAACUCGUGGCACGAGUCGUGAUUUGGAGUCAGAUGAAGGUUUGAGCAGGCAGAAUAUUCUCAUUUUUAUUUUAUUAGGGUGCAGUAAACGGGCAGAGAAUCAGACUGGGAAAGACAUCUACAGUAUUAAUAAUAACAUUUUCCUUUCAUGUGGAUGUCAUGUCCGAGGCGUAGCGUCUGUUCACUGUUAAACCGCCUGUUUCUGGCUUCUGAAAGAAUCGACUCUUCGAAUUACGACAUAAUAUGAUUAUGUUUGAUCACGUUAUAGAGGCUUUGGAACAUGAAUGCUAUUCUUCUCUCAUUUGAACAUCUUUCACUUUUGUCAUUGGAGACAGAUUCCACCUUUCCGCUGAAGUGACAUGUGAACUGUAGACAAUUCCUGAAACAAAUGUAUACUCGAUUUUGUUCAUUUUUAACUCACGAGGACGGCCGACGUAGCUCAUGGUAUUUAUAUAUAGAGUAACACAGUGCGCAGAUAUAUGAACAUAUUUUCCAAUUCACACCUUUACAAAUCGAAUACGAUACGAAUGGGUAUUCUGCCUCUGAAUCCACCAUGACCCCCUGACCAGGAUGAAGCCAUUACCGAAGAGGAAUUCAUUAGUAAAUGGUCUGCAUGUAUAUAGUGCUUUUUUAACCUUAGCAGUUCCAUUCACCCAUUCACACACACCAAUGGUAGCAGAGCUAACUUUGUAGCAAGUCGCUAACUUGCCAUUUGGAGCAACUUGGCGUUCAGUGCCUUUCCCAAGGACACUUCGUCAUGUGGAGUCACGUGGGCCGCCAAUCCUACGAUCACACUGAAAUGGAGCGACGUUUUGAAAUCGGGCUUAAAACCCUGCGGAUUGUCUUCUCGUGUGGCUCAGACCGGGCGAGAACAGACUAGCUAAAGUAAUCUAAGCCGUGCUUGACAUGAAACAACAAAAAGACUAGACAAAAAAAAAAAAACACGAGCUAGACACGAACAGAAACUAGCCAUGCUAAAAGUAAGUCAUGCCAAAACAACAGGGCAAAGCUGGAACACUAGGGAUGGUGUACACACAUGCACAUGAGUAGGUGGAAGGCUCCGUGAGUAGCGCCCGUGCAAAUGCUUUAUUUAGA
Ictalurus punctatus (channel catfish) is the source of this 3289-nucleotide long non-coding RNA. Lineage: Eukaryota; Metazoa; Chordata; Actinopteri; Siluriformes; Ictaluridae. The record is from Ensembl.